CGCAACUCGCCUUGUGGGGUUUUAUGGAACUGCCCACUGUUGAAGGAUUCUCAGGAAGAUGUUUUGGUAUCCGACAUUGGUUAAUAUUAACGGUAGUUCUCUUUAUUUUUGCAGGUACACGAGUGCGAGUCUUACAAGGGACUAGGUGACGCUACUUCGCCAUUUCUCUUACUCUAGUGAGUAUAUAGGUAACUUACUUCAGGGAACUUCAUGAGCGCAGUGUGGUGCUCCUGUGAACUAUAUCCCCACAGCCUAACGGCUCGUAGCGACAUCUACCACACUCGUAUUCAUAAGAAUGCCUCAUAAACCUUACGCUCAUGUCGCAACAACACGACAUGAUUAUUUGCUACUUGUCCCACAUGUAGCAUAAAUAACUAUUACAACGAGCAUCAUAUCAUUAUUUGGUCGUAAUCAAGACCAAACUACAACAGUAUGUCUCACCAAACAAGAGUGUCUCAGCAAACCGGAAGUGCAAGGCUUUUGUAGCAAACAAAAGGCUGUGGAAUCGAAGAAGGCGGAAGUUCUCAAUCGCGUAGCAUGCAACCAUUUAAUCACAAUGGCGCAAGAGAAACAGAUAAACGAAGAAAUGCACGACUCAGAGUGGCCGGAGGACGAACUCCUGGAUAUGACCGGCCUUAAUCUAGACCACGAGGUCGAUGAGAGUCGGCCAUAUCCAGGUGGAUUACCGAAAGACGUCCACCCGGUUCAAGAUAUGUAUUUUAUUCGUUACGUUCAAUUAAGUGUCCUAAAUGUAUUACAGUCGGCAAUUAUUGUCAUUCACUCCAUUCGCAUUUGUUCGCGCACUACUUCAUGGCAUCAUGGAUGCACCUGGGGCGCAAAAAAGUUCGCAAAGCACAUCAAGUCUAACUACUCUCUAAGUAUCUUUGAGGAAGACAAAAAAUUAACUGAGAAUGGGAGAAAAAGGAUGUGAAUCAACUAUCGUGCCAAGUACAUGUAAUUCUGCAUCGUGCCUCAUGGUAUAUCUCGGAUUCGUUACAGAAAAAUAGCACCCACUCAGGUGUGACCCUUUCACGUAGCUGCGGAUGCGAUCGAAUUUUGAAUUACUUAUACGUUAAUAAAGAUGGCCAAUAUCUAAUGCUAAUUACAUGAUUACGGUAGAAUAAUUUUUCAAUCCAAUAGAGCAAGCGCAGCCAGCGGCACCAUCCCCCACCGGAGACGAGGCGGCCCAAACAAAGAGCGAUGGCAGCGAAGCGCCCGCCGCGGGAGCAGCAGCGGACAUGCAGAAGCCAAGGGGCAAGCAGGGCAGGCAGUGGUCCCAGUCCCGCAAACGGGAGGCCCUGGACACCCGGAUGAUACUAAACUUCGUCAAGCUGAGUCAUCCGUACAAGGGUGGCCAGGGCCACAACCGCAAAAAGGGGCACGGUGGUGGCCGCGGAGGACAAGGUGGCGGGGGGCGGGGCGCGAACAACGCAUAGAACAUAGCCAAUAAA
This is an RNA transcript of Athalia rosae (coleseed sawfly), 1451 nucleotides long. RefSeq lists it as uncharacterized. The record is from RefSeq and is a predicted model, not a curated record. Lineage: Eukaryota; Metazoa; Arthropoda; Insecta; Hymenoptera; Athaliidae. The transcript has 3 exons.